Molecule: non-coding RNA, 73 nt
Organism: Pangasianodon gigas (Mekong giant catfish)
Lineage: Eukaryota; Metazoa; Chordata; Actinopteri; Siluriformes; Pangasiidae
Source: the annotation of a GenBank genome assembly
GCAGUCAUGGCCUAAUGGUUAGAGAGCCUGACUUGUAACCUGAAGGUCUUGGGUUCGAGUCUCAGGUCCAGCA